UGAGGAAUAUUGGUCAAUGGGCGAGAGCCUGAACCAGCCAAGUAGCGUGCAUGAUGACGGCCCUAUGGGUUGUAAACUGCUUUUAUAUGGGAAUAAAGUGAGGGACGUGUCCCUUAUUGCAUGUACCAUACGAAUAAGGACCGGCUAAUUCCGUGCCAGCAGCCGCGGUAAUACGGAAGGUUCGGGCGUUAUCCGGAUUUAUUGGGUUUAAAGGGAGCGUAGGCCGUUUGGUAAGCGUGUUGUGAAAUGUAGGAGCUCAACUUCUAGAUUGCAGCGCGAACUGUCAGACUUGAGUGCGCACAACGUAGGCGGAAUUCAUGGUGUAGCGGUGAAAUGCUUAGAUAUCAUGACGAACUCCGAUUGCGCAGGCAGCUUACUGUAGCAUAACUGACGCUGAUGCUCGAAAGUGCGGGUAUCAAACAGG
RNAcentral lists this ribosomal RNA (424 nucleotides) under Verrucomicrobiota bacterium. Its description in RNAcentral is "Verrucomicrobia bacterium partial 16S ribosomal RNA". It matches the Rfam family "Bacterial small subunit ribosomal RNA", at positions 355 to 776 of the family's 1533-position model. Lineage: Bacteria; Pseudomonadati; Verrucomicrobiota. The record is from RNAcentral.